Long non-coding RNA from Sorghum bicolor (sorghum), 496 nucleotides. RefSeq lists it as uncharacterized. The record is from RefSeq and is a predicted model, not a curated record. The transcript is spliced from 2 exons. Lineage: Eukaryota; Viridiplantae; Streptophyta; Magnoliopsida; Poales; Poaceae.
UGCAUACAAGAAUACAAGUUCAACAAAUAUACAAAUACUGUUAUUCUCCACUUGCCACUCAUUAGCAAGACAAUGAGGACCGAGUGCUCCGCAGCUCUCUGCAUUGUCCUAGUGGUUAUGUCUUCAACCCUCUCUUCCUGCAACCCUGGUUCGUCAUGUAGUUUCACUUUACCUCGAUGCACUGCACAGAAAUGCAGAGGAAGAUGCUUGGCGUUUGCCAAAUCGGAAGGUGGAGUGCUAAAGCUGUCCUACUGUGUGACAAAGAAUAGUUGCGAAUGCGAGUUAGCUCCCAAAAAGCAUCUGCCCCUUACAACCGAAGUCAGAGGAUGAUAAUGGAACUUUUGUUUGAAUAUAAUACAUAGGAUUAAAACUGACACCAAUGAUGGAUCGGGUAUCAAGGCAGACAAUACCGUACUGCUAGCUCUUGCAUGAAAUUUAUCCAUGACCUGUUUCCUUUUAGGUCUAAUAAAAUAAUUCGUGCCCAUCAUUUCAAUAA